UAACCAAGGGCAUGCUGCACCGCCAUGGACGGGACUGGCAAUCCUUGUUUUGCGUGGAGUUGGCGUGCUUGAGGGAUUAAAGGGCGAUCUUUGGCGUCGGACAGGGGAGUCGGUGGCCUCUUGUCCUCCGCACUGCGUCACCUCUGCAAGCCCUGUUUCAAGUGGAGUCAGCGUCCUAUUGCGGGUGAAAGCAAUCGGAAGAGGGUGAGGACAAGGCACCAUGAGAUGUCAUGAGGGCGAGCCAGUGUUUGAUGGAAUGUCUUAAUUGCUGGCCAUUAUUAUGCUUGCAUUCGUUUGCCAAUAGAGGAG
This 309-nucleotide long non-coding RNA is filed under the name Musa acuminata (dwarf banana). RNAcentral's name for it is "long non-coding RNA (MACU_LNC002945)". Lineage: Eukaryota; Viridiplantae; Streptophyta; Magnoliopsida; Zingiberales; Musaceae. The record is from RNAcentral.